UGAGACAAUGUUGCCACUGGGAUCUGU
This 27-nucleotide non-coding RNA is filed under the name Homo sapiens (human). The record is from RNAcentral. Lineage: Eukaryota; Metazoa; Chordata; Mammalia; Primates; Hominidae.